GUGGGGAAGAAAAACCAAUUCAAUUGAAGCACUUACCAUGAGAUCACAGGUUCACUUAAUUUCAAAUGGUUAUAAUGGCAUCACAAGUUCAAACAGUGAAUGCUUGUUUGCUUGUCUGUAUGUAUGUCUGUUUUCUUGUAUUUCACUUGCCUCAUGGAAUAUUUUCUGUGUACUCAUUUGGGUGUCUGUACGUACAGAAGAAGGUUCACUUAGUUUUAAGUGGUUAUAAUGGCAUCAGUGAAUGUUUGUUUCUUUGAACUGCUUUAAUUUAUCAUUUUAUUUCAUCUAUUAACUUUAUUCUAAAGGUGAAAUAAAUGCAAGAUGGGUUAGGGUUGCAAGAUGUUUCCAAAGUCAGUGAGUCUCAAUCUAUUCUGUUGACUUUCCCUAUCUGCAUUGUUCUAUUGGCCUAGAGGGUGUAGUUUUAUAAAUCUCAAACUCUGUUUAAUGGUUAGAAAACGUGUUGCCGUAAAAACCUGCAACUCAAUGGCGUGUUGGUUUUAAAAAAUAUUGAGAAGGUAUUAAAAAUGGUAUUAAAAGGUAUUGAAUUUACCUCCAGGAUUUCUGUAUAUACCCUGUUUGAGAUGAAGAAA
Long non-coding RNA from Sander lucioperca (pikeperch), 590 nucleotides. RefSeq lists it as uncharacterized. The record is from RefSeq and is a predicted model, not a curated record. Lineage: Eukaryota; Metazoa; Chordata; Actinopteri; Perciformes; Percidae. The transcript has 3 exons.